GAGGGUACAGCCCAGUGGUAGAGCACGUGCUUAGCAUGCCUGGGGUCCUGGGCUCAAUCCCCAGUACCUCCA
Molecule: transfer RNA, 72 nt
Filed under: Camelus ferus (Wild Bactrian camel)
Lineage: Eukaryota; Metazoa; Chordata; Mammalia; Artiodactyla; Camelidae
Rfam family: tRNA
About the family: Transfer RNA (tRNA) molecules are approximately 80 nucleotides in length. Their secondary structure includes four short double-helical elements and three loops (D, anti-codon, and T loops).
Source: Rfam by way of RNAcentral